This 458-nucleotide ribosomal RNA is filed under the name Nemipterus bathybius (yellowbelly threadfin bream). RNAcentral describes it as "partial 16S ribosomal RNA". It matches the Rfam family "Bacterial large subunit ribosomal RNA", at positions 1929 to 2529 of the family's 2925-position model. The record is from RNAcentral. Lineage: Eukaryota; Metazoa; Chordata; Actinopteri; Spariformes; Nemipteridae.
GGCCGCGGUAUACUGACCGUGCCAAGGUAGCGCAAUCACUUGCCCUUUAAAUGGGGGCCCGUAUGAAUGGCAUCACGAGGGCUAAUCUGUCUCCUUUCUCCAGUCAAUGAAAUUGAUCUCCCCGUGCAGAAGCGGGGAUAAACCCAUAAGACGAGAAGACCCUGUGGAGCUUUAGAUACUAAGAUUGAUCCUCUUAAUAUAUACAAAACAAAGAUAUCCAAAUAAGGAACACAAUCCGAUUAUCUUUGGUUGGGGCGACCGCGGGGACUAAAAAAACCCCCAUGUGGACCGAAAAUAAAAGUCUUUCUUAUUCUUACAAUCAAGAGUUACCACUCUAACUAACAGAACUUCUGACCUAAAGUGAUCCGACAAAGUCCAUCAACGGACCGAGUUACCCCAGGGAUAACAGCGCAUUCCCCUUUAAGAGCUCUUAUCGACGAGGGGGUUUACGACCUCGA